This 429-nucleotide ribosomal RNA is filed under the name Verrucomicrobiota bacterium. Its description in RNAcentral is "Verrucomicrobia bacterium partial 16S ribosomal RNA". It matches the Rfam family "Bacterial small subunit ribosomal RNA", at positions 355 to 776 of the family's 1533-position model. Lineage: Bacteria; Pseudomonadati; Verrucomicrobiota. The record is from RNAcentral.
UAGGGAAUCUUCCGCAAUGGACGCAAGUCUGACGGAGCAACGCCGCGUGAGUGAAGAAGGUUUUCGGAUCGUAAAACUCUGUUGUAAGAGAAGAACAAAUUGUAGAGUAACUGCUACAGUCUUGACGGUAUCUUACCAGAAAGCCACGGCUAACUACGUGCCAGCAGCCGCGGUAAUACGUAGGUGGCAAGCGUUGUCCGGAUUUAUUGGGCGUAAAGGGGGCGCAGGCUGCUUCUUAAGUAUGAUGUGAAAGCCCACGGCUUAACCGUGGAAGUGCAUUGGAAACUGGGAAGCUUGAGUACAGAAGAGGAAAGUGGAACUCCAUGUGUAGCGGUGGAAUGCGUAGAUAUAUGGAAGAACACCAGUGGCGAAAGCGACUUUCUGGUCUGUCACUGACGCUGAGGCCCGAAAGCGUGGGUAGCAAACAGG